Molecule: transfer RNA, 74 nt
Filed under: Rhizoctonia solani AG-1 IB
Lineage: Eukaryota; Fungi; Basidiomycota; Agaricomycetes; Cantharellales; Ceratobasidiaceae
Description: tRNA-His
Rfam family: tRNA
About the family: Transfer RNA (tRNA) molecules are approximately 80 nucleotides in length. Their secondary structure includes four short double-helical elements and three loops (D, anti-codon, and T loops). Further hydrogen bonds mediate the characteristic L-shaped molecular structure. tRNAs have two regions of fundamental functional importance: the anti-codon, which is responsible for specific mRNA codon recognition, and the 3' end, to which the tRNAs corresponding amino acid is attached (by aminoacyl-tRNA synthetases). tRNAs cope with the degeneracy of the genetic code in two manners: having more than one tRNA (with a specific anti-codon) for a particular amino acid; and 'wobble' base-pairing, i.e. permitting non-standard base-pairing at the 3rd anti-codon position.
Source: RNAcentral
GCUCCUAUGGUCUAGUGGUUAUGACGCUUCGUUGUGGCUCCGAAGCAGCCUGUGUUCGAUUCACAGUGGGGGCA